UCCCCGGUGGUCCAUAGUUAGGACUCUGAGCUGUCACUGCCUAGGGCCCAGGUUCAAUCCCUGGUUGGGGAA
This 72-nucleotide transfer RNA is filed under the name Bos taurus (domestic cattle). It matches the Rfam family "tRNA". Rfam says of the family: Transfer RNA (tRNA) molecules are approximately 80 nucleotides in length. RNAcentral also lists the same sequence under 3 other names. The record is from Rfam by way of RNAcentral. Lineage: Eukaryota; Metazoa; Chordata; Mammalia; Artiodactyla; Bovidae.